RNAcentral lists this ribosomal RNA (253 nucleotides) under Verrucomicrobiota bacterium. RNAcentral's name for it is "Verrucomicrobia bacterium partial 16S ribosomal RNA". It matches the Rfam family "Bacterial small subunit ribosomal RNA", at positions 1290 to 1533 of the family's 1533-position model. Lineage: Bacteria; Pseudomonadati; Verrucomicrobiota. The record is from RNAcentral.
AGUUCGGAUUGGAGUCUGCAACUCGACUCCAUGAAGCCGGAAUCGCUAGUAAUGGCGCAUCAGCUACGGCGCCGUGAAUACGUUCCCGGGCCUUGUACACACCGCCCGUCACAUCAUGGAAGUUGCUUGUAGCCGAAGCCGGCGCGCUAACCCGCAAGGGAUGCAGCCGUCUACGCUAUGAGCAGUAACUGGGAUGAAGUCGUAACAAGGUAGCCGUAGGGGAACCUGCGGCUGGAUCACCUCCUUUCUAAGG